RNAcentral lists this ribosomal RNA (493 nucleotides) under uncultured bacterium. RNAcentral's name for it is "partial 16S ribosomal RNA". It matches the Rfam family "Bacterial small subunit ribosomal RNA", at positions 28 to 507 of the family's 1533-position model. The record is from RNAcentral.
GACGAACGCUGGCGGCGUGCUUAACACAUGCAAGUCGAACGGUGAAGGGACCGGUUUUUGCUGGUUCUGGAUGAGUGGCGAACGGGUGAGUAACACGUGAGUAACCUGCCCCCUUCUUCUGGAUAACCGCAUGAAAGUGUGGCUAAUACUGGAUAUUCUGCGCCUGCUGCAUGGUGGGUGUGGGAAAGAUAUUGUUUCGGUGGGGGAUGGGCUCGCGGCCUAUCAGCUUGUUGGUGGGGUGAUGGCCUACCAAGGCGGUGACGGGUAGCCGGCCUGAGAGGGUGGACGGUCACACUGGGACUGAGACACGGCCCAGACUCCUACGGGAGGCAGCAGUGGGGAAUAUUGCACAAUGGGCGCAAGCCUGAUGCAGCGACGCCGCGUGAGGGAUGGAGGCCUUCGGGUUGUAAACCUCUUUCGCCAGUGAAGCAGGCCUGUCCCUUUUGUGGGUGGGUUGACGGUAGCUGGAUAAGAAGCGCCGGCUAACUACGUG